Molecule: long non-coding RNA, 446 nt
Organism: Lethenteron reissneri (Far Eastern brook lamprey)
Lineage: Eukaryota; Metazoa; Chordata; Hyperoartia; Petromyzontiformes; Petromyzontidae
Source: RefSeq, a predicted model, not a curated record
UAAUCAGCCGUGAUUCGUCCGCUGCUGGAUGAAGGCCCACCCCGAGCCGUCGCCACCUCUCAGCAUCACGCGAGGCAGCAGUUGACAGUUGACGGAGCAGCCAAGCUGUGAGACGCCUUACUCGCAGGCAAUUUAGCGGCGUUACGGACGCCUGAGGCCGAUACCAGGGCCUUCAAACUCGCCCUUCGCCGGCCUUCCUAUCCGAGCGUCUUGGGGGCCCCCUCCGACGAACGAUCAAGAAGGAAGGAACCGUGGCACUUGCGUCAUCACGUCACGAUCUCUGCCAUGCAACGCUGCCGGUCCAGAUCGGUACGCCCGCUCAAGCAAAACCGACACUUCACGCGAGACAGUGCCGGACGAGCGCGCCAGUGCGUUCCGCGGGCCCAAUCGUGGGCUCAGUCGAUUCCUGGACACUCUCCUGCAGCGGUGGAUUCCAUCCAAGGCUC